UACGUAGGGGGCAAGCGUUAUCCGGAUUUACUGGGUGUAAAGGGAGCGCAGACGGCAGUGCAAGUCUGGAGUGAAAGCCCGGGGCCCAACCCCGGAACUGCUCUGGAAACUGUGCGGCUAGAGUACUGGAGGGGCAGGUGGAAUUCCUAGUGUAGCGGUGAAAUGCGUAGAUAUUAGGAGGAACACCAGUGGCGAAGGCGGCCUGCUGGACAGUAACUGACGUUGAGGCUCGAAAGCGUGGGGAGCAAACAGG
Molecule: ribosomal RNA, 253 nt
Filed under: uncultured bacterium
Lineage: Bacteria
Description: partial 16S ribosomal RNA
Rfam family: Bacterial small subunit ribosomal RNA
Source: RNAcentral